GGCCGUGCUGUACGGACGUGCGGAGCGGCUGUUGCGGUGUUUACAUCGUCGCUGCGAGCGGCCGGCCCUGUGUGGCAGUGUGUUAGGAUACCCGGUCUGUCAGGGAGCGGUAAAAGGUGGAUGGCAGGCGAGCGCGGUAAAAGGAGCGUGGGCACUGCACGGCACAACGGGCUCAGUAGUAGUAGGAGUUCGGCAUUGGUUUGAGCAACACCUUCUGGAGCUUCACUGAGCCUCGGGUAUGUUGUUCCAACGCCCAAACAGCAGGGCAAAACUCCAUAGGCACUAAAUGGAAAAGUAUUGCGAUGCUAAGAAGAAUUAAAGUGCCGAUAUGUCAAGAGCGAUAGCUGUGGUCGUAUGUGUGCUCUGUGCCUCGCCAUCUCGCCGCCCGCCAACCGCCGCAUUGAUACAAGCAGCGACAGCAGAAGAUUCACUGCAGGGGUGGCCAACCCACUGUCCGAUGCCGCCCAAAGCAAGGAUCAGUGAGACCUUAGAAGUGAGCAUCCAUCACGGGCAAAAAAAUUAAAAAAGGAACCUGUUAUGUAACGAUAGAUUAAAUAUUUUCAGCGUGAAACUCCUACUACUCGAUGUCAUUCUCUCAUUGGUCCAUAUCGCUCUAAACAUUGCCGCCCGUGGUGUACUUGAAUCUCCUGGUCUCGUUCUUAUAACUGGCUAAUCCGUCAGACGCGCUGGUCUGUUAU
This is a long non-coding RNA of Schistocerca gregaria, 698 nucleotides long. RefSeq lists it as uncharacterized. The transcript has 3 exons. The record is from RefSeq and is a predicted model, not a curated record. NCBI's taxonomy places the organism in Eukaryota, Metazoa, Arthropoda, Insecta, Orthoptera, Acrididae.